This is a non-coding RNA of Postia placenta Mad-698-R, 90 nucleotides long. The record is from Rfam. NCBI's taxonomy places the organism in Eukaryota, Fungi, Basidiomycota, Agaricomycetes, Polyporales, Adustoporiaceae.
GGCAAGAUGGCCGAGCGGUCUAAGGCGCUGGAAUCAGGAACUUGUUCUAUCCAGUCCGAAAGGGCGUGGGUUCAAAUCCCACUCUUGUCA